GAUUAAACCCAGGGGUGCUUAACCACUGAGCUAUGUCCCCAGCCCUUCUAAUUUUUUAUUUUAAGACAUGGUCUUGCUAAGUUGCUUAGAGCCACGCUUAGUUACUGAGACUGGCCUAGAACUGGCAAUCCCCCCGUCUCAGCUUCCCAAACCACUGGGAUUAUAGGCUUAUGCCACCUUUCCCAGCUGUUUUAAUUUUUUUUUUUUUUGUGGUGCUGAGGAUUGAACCCAGAGCCUUGUGCAUGUGAGGCAAGCACUCUACCAGCUGAGCUGUAUCCCCAGCCAUGUUUUUAUUUUUUAUUUUUAACCUGCUUUUUCAAAACAUCCUUCUCCUUAAUUUGCUUGUCAUCAGAAUGAUGUGUUUCCUAAAUCAACUUCUUUUCAUUCUGUUUAUUUAUCUGAAGGAACCAUUUUCUGAUAUUAUUAACCUCCUAGUCUUUAUUGCUGUAUUCUAAUUAAACCAGAACAUACUUUUAUAACAAGUUUUCUCCAUUUGUGUUAGUUUGGUUACAGCAACAAAAAGAUGCCUAUCUGGAUUUAUUUGAUGUACAGUUUCAGAAGUUGAAUCCAUGGUUGAUUCGCAGAAACAUGUCAGAGGAAAGCUGCUCAGCUCAUGGCAACCAGAAAGUAUGCAGGGAGGGUGGGGGAUAAAACCUUCCAGGGGAUGCCUCCUGUGACCUACUUCCCCUCUUUAUUACAUUCAACUGUCAGAUUCAUUUGAUAGAUUAUACCACUAAUGGCCCUUAUGAUCCUACCAUUGCCCACAACCCCUGCCACCCCUGAACCUUGCUGCACUGGAGAUCAUGCUUUCAAUACAUGAGCUUUUGGGUGGACAUUCUAGAUCCAAACCAUAGCACCAUUCCACCCCAGUUUGUUAUUGUUAACAUUUAUGUCAGCAUUAUCAACUAUGGGUGUUCAUCACCUCUUGGAUCUCACUAAUUAUCUUCUUUGAAAAGCUGCAGUUGAAAUGUCUUCCACCCUGUAACUGGUUCUACCUCCUAAAGCUUCUUUUUUCUUAAUAUCCUGAGCUGUGCUUGCUGCAAUCUGCUGCUCUCCAGAGUUUCUAGAGAACCCUCAAGAACAACAAAGCAUUCUGCCAACUAAUUUCAUCAUAAUGAAGUUCUUCUACAUUUCUAGAUUAAGUGCUAUGUUUCAAAGUUUAGAACACUAGCAUUAGCUACAAAAUUGUACCAAUUUUAUUGGUUAGGCAUAGGAAUUUUUGAACUUUUAAUUUUUUUGUAUCUAUUAUCAAUGAAGUUUAACAGUUUGCUAUAAUUAUUCAGCAUAACCCUAUACUUUUUAUUAGAAUUUAUUGGAAAAGAAGAUUUGAUCAGAAAACUAUUUUUAAAAAUACAUAAGGUGGGGGGCUGGGGUUGUGGAUCAGAGGUAGAGCGCUCGCCUAGCAUGUGUGAGGCACUGGGUUUGAUCCUCAGCACCACAUAAAUAUAAAAUAAAGAUAUUGUGUCCACCUAUAACUAAAAAAUAAAUAUUAAAAAAAAUACCUAAGGGGGCCACAUCAAUGUUUAUAGCAGCACAAUUCACAAUCGCUAAAUCGUGGAACCAGCCUAUAUACCCUUCAGUAGAUGAAUGGGUAAAAAAAAUGUGGCAUAUAUACACAAUGGAAUAUUACUCAGCAUUAAAAGAGAAUAAAAUCAUGGCAUUUACAGGAAAUGGAUGGAGUUGGAGAAUAGAAUGCUAAGUGAAGUAAGCCAAUUCCAAAAAACCAAAUGCCAAAUGUCUUCUUUGAUAUAAAUAUGCUGAUUCAUAAUGGGGAUGGGGUGGGGGAGCAUGGGAGGAAUACACAAACUCUAGAUAGGGAAAAAGGGACAGAGGGGAAGGAAAGAGGCAUGGGAGUAGGAAAGACAGUGGAAUGAGACGGACAUUGUUACCCUAAGUACAUGUAUGAAAACAUGAAUGGUGGGACUCUACUUUGUGUACAACCAGAGACAUGAAAAAUUGUCCUCUAUUUGUGUAAUAUGAAUUGAAUUGCAUUUUGCUGUCAU
This 2003-nucleotide long non-coding RNA is filed under the name Marmota monax (woodchuck). The record is from RNAcentral. Lineage: Eukaryota; Metazoa; Chordata; Mammalia; Rodentia; Sciuridae.